AUAGCCAAGGAUUUGGGUAGUCUCAGGAUGAGGCCGGUGUGCCAGGAAGGUAUAUCGAACAGGGACUGUGAAGGGAAUGCCGAGGAACGGCAAAACAGUAAACAGGAUGUUUGCUGGUCAGGACGACGAAAAGGACCCCUUCAGGAAGAAGGUAUGGACCCCUCCAGGAUGGAUGUUGAGAGUCAGGACAGGAUGAACUGACGGGUCAGGAAGGCCACAGGACAACUUCAGGAUGAAGUCAAAAGGACAAUGCUGACGGAUACAGCAGUCAAAGGAAUGAUGCAGGGAGCACCUUAGUAGCGGGAAUGCUGCAAGUAAGACCUAAGGGCGCAACGCAAGUUGCGCCCGUUCUUUUUUCU
Non-coding RNA from Photobacterium ganghwense, 359 nucleotides. NCBI's taxonomy places the organism in Bacteria, Pseudomonadati, Pseudomonadota, Gammaproteobacteria, Vibrionales, Vibrionaceae. The record is from Rfam.